Molecule: long non-coding RNA, 5600 nt
Organism: Cynoglossus semilaevis (tongue sole)
Lineage: Eukaryota; Metazoa; Chordata; Actinopteri; Pleuronectiformes; Cynoglossidae
Exons: 2
Source: RefSeq, a predicted model, not a curated record
AUCCCCUGCGCGUCGUAUAUUUAAAUUAUUUACGUAAUAUGUAUGUCUUAUGUUUCCGUUAUACAACUCUACUGUGCUUAUAAUUGUCUGGGGAAGGGUAACAUAGUCUAGGGAGGGUUGAUAACGGUGUCGGGGAGGUUCGUAAAGGGUACAUAUAUACAGAAAUAAUAUAAAAACUAUAUUGCCCCACUUCUCGGAUUUUCCCUUUUCAGUACAGGUCUUGGGACGCAAUUACCGCGAUAGGAGAGGGAUCACUGUAUUCAGAUUUUAUUAGACGAUUUUUAUUAGCUCUUAUUUUAGGACAAGUGGGAUGACCUGAGGUAAUGCCUACACAUUUGUUUCUAGCCCAAGGGCUUUUCCCAAUUUCCCCAGUGCUAUCAUAAACGUGACACCAUUAUAACCCAGGGGUGCAUAUGGGAUUUUUUAAAUGGGCCGAGGGGUGGGUGGAUUUGGUGCUGAGGAGGCAACCUUUCAACAAUUAUACAAUAACCAUAAGAAUUAGAAAUACUGACAUUUAUUUCACAACUUCAAUUCAUCAUUAGUCAUAGCACCCAAUGGAAUCAGUACUUCCUCAAGACACCACAGUUGGCCAAGUUGGGACCUCAACCUGGGUCUUCUUGAUUGCCAACCCAUUCCUCUCCCACUUGGUAUAGGGGGUUCCAUUGCACACACCAGACCAGCACCACAAACUCCUCUGCCCAGGCACAGUGUACUCUGCCCACAUCCACACAGCCCCCCUUUGGUUCUCUGGAGUUCUUCACACAGGGCCAGCACCACAUAGCAUGCUUACUGCAGAAGGGUAAAAGAUGAAGAUGGGACUCACUCCUGUACCCUGUGACGCCUCAAGAAGAGGAUUGUGGACUGAAGACUUCAGACAGCAAAAGAUCAUAAAUUGGACUAUCUUUCCACUGGACAUUUGCCACAGAUGUGUCCGGCGACAGUUGAGCUUCGACCAGGGGAAGCAGCCCUGUACCAGGUGCUUUAGGGCGUCGGCCCCAUCUUGACAGUGAAGCUCUGCCGUGGUUGUGGAGAAAAGCAGAAAUCACAUCACUUGGCCAACAGUGUGUGGAGUCUUCACUGUUCCGGUGGGGUAGUUCCCCUAUACCGCCCCAUACUGCUUCCACUGCUUUCAUUAGUCCUUUUUAUUAGACACUUUCCCUAACUCGCAUUACCAGCAUAUAUAUAAUGAAUGUAUUACAAAGAUCAUCAUUCUUUAAAUAACACAAAAGAAUAAUCACACUUUUAAUCAUUCUUCAAUGCUGCAGCUUCUGUUUGGGUACUUUUCAUUCCAACAUAGUGUUAACUAUUACCCAACUCGUAACCGUUCAGUUGGUACAUCUUGCUACUAUCCCAAUUCCUUAUCUCUGAAUUUGAAAGAAGUUGACUCUUUAUUUCUUUAUUCCAAAUAAUUCUAGGUACAGUACAUGGUGUCCCUAGGUCCCUUUUCUUUUGAACAUGCUUCAACCCCUCGGAACAUGCCUCGUUAUGCCAUAUUGUAAGCUGAAUACGAUUUUUUAAAAUAAUAACCUACUUAUGCCUGGUAUGAUAUACUGGGCUGUGACUUCAUAAAGACUGUACACAACCCUUAUUGACAGCUCCUCCUUGAGUUCAGUCACUAUACAAACCAUCAUCCUCAGCGGAGAGAAGGACAUCAUCCUCAGGAGGUUGAAGGGUGUUGGCACAACGAGGUAGUCGCUCAGCCGGUGUAGAUGGCUUGGGCCAUUGAUCCACAACCAUCAUAGCACUGGGUGUAGGUGAUGGUGUGGGUGAUGUAGGCGGCUCUUGUGAUAAGGCUGAAGUAAUGGGUUUCUCUGGUGUUGCUGAGGCCGAUCCAGAUAAAGCAUUUCUGAUAGCAUCGAUAGUGUGUUUCUCUAUGUGUGAGUCAGAUCCCUUGUGUUCUUUUAUGGAGCAAAUAGGAGAGGAUUUUUAGGCUUACCUUUGUUUAUUACAGACUUAGCAAAAUAGGGAGUUCCAGAGCUCUGGGUCAGAUCUACACGUCCGUGAUAUUUUCUUACAAUUCCCCCUUUUGGUCCCAACUAUAUGAGACCAACCAUACUUGUUUAAACCUUGUAUUCUUGGUCAAAUUCUUUAACUAGUGCCAAGGACUCUGUCUCUGCUGCAAUCAGAGGCAUUUGGUAGGGUGGAGAGAGAUCCUUUUUCUCAAUUGCUGCAACAAUAAUACGGUUACAAAGAGAGCGCAUACAAGAGAGCGAGUACAACAACAUCCACAUAAUGCUAGUGCACAGAACAUUUACAUUACAGAAAGUUAUACCAUCAUCAGAACGUUUCACCACUUCCCAAAUGUUUUGUCCAACCAUGUCACAAAGGGAUUCUUUAUCCUGUUAUAGGGUUUGUAAUCCAUGCAGAGGCCUAGAGACUGAGCCGUGGUGGUGUUUGCUAAACGCUGAACAGUAUAAUGAACAUAAUUAAUCUGAUCCUCGUUUUUGUUAGGCGUUACAGGGGAGGAUUUUCAAAGCCAGUAGCUAUGGGAUCAGCCAAGUUUAUAUUUAUUAGGGACUCCUCUGGGAACACUAAUAGCAUAAAUCAUACGGCAUCUGCUGGAUUUCCCCGGGUUUAACAGAAGGAGUUUCUUUUCAAUUGUUUUUGUUGCUAAGAGAAGUUAUUUUCACUACACCCAUGGUAUUUAGGCUAGCCUGGUCAACUCCCUGUAUAAGAUAUAUAUCCUGUUCAGUUUUGGUCCGGCAGAGGGCAAUUAAGGCCUCCCCACCCCAUGUGGCUAAUUUAAAGGCAUAUUAAUUUGUCAUAGAUUGAAGAGUUAUGCUCAUUUGUCCUCCCACCCUGGUUGUUAUAUCAAUUUUAUCUUUAAAUACAGGUACUGUAGGUUGCACAUAAGGUUCCCACCCACUUCCUGUCCAUGCAAUGACGUACGACCAGGUUGGACACCAGAAGUUCUCACUGGUCCAGGGGCAAAUGUAGUAAUUAUAGCCUUGCCAAUAGUCUCUAUAACCAUAACAGGCGAGUACAUCAUAAAUGUUAAAUUGAUAUGUCAUUGCUUCUUAGGUGAUAUGAGUGAUGUGCACCUUACAAGUGGUAUUGCUGUGGAUCUUGGGUUCUAACCCUAACCCUAGACUGUGUCUCAGGCUCCACUCUCUGUGCAUGUUCCCACCACAGGAGAGGCAGGACAACUACCCAGGUGAUUAUAAACAGGAUACCUGUGCACCACCAGUUGCUCCAUAGAAUACUCACGUUGAAGCUUUAAGCCAAGAUGUGAUUAUACGGAUUACUUUAAAAUAUAAAAAGAUGGUUAUAAGAAAAAAUGAAAAUGAACUAUGUAGCCUGGAGGAUAUGGUGAAGGAUCAGGAUGGGACUCAAGAGGGUAAUGUGGGCAGUGUCGGGCCCAAAGACCUUGUUGGUCGCAUGCGUAGCAUAUCCCUGGGCUGCUUGAUGGACCUCAUCCUCUUCCCCUUGGCCCACCCCUGAACCCUCCCCUACUCUGUCUAGUACCUCCCCAACAGGGCUGUGGUUGCUGCUGCCAAAUAUAAUUUUUAGGAGGCGCAUAUGACGCUAGGGGUGGGCCUUGAGGUGGUAACAUAGCAGGCUGAGUUUGGGGAGGUGGCUGCUGCACCAUCUGUUUCUUCCCCAUCUGUAUCUUUUUAGCUUCAUUCACCCUGUAUUGUGCUUCAUUUAACUGAAGCCUCUGCAGUUGUACCUGUGUAUCAUGCUGAUCAUCACUAGUCUGUUGUUGUUCCUGAUUAUGUGCCUUAACAUGAUGUGUGAGAUGUUUUUCCCAUUUCUCAGUGUCACAUCCUGAAAUAUCAUACUGCCCUGGGCAUCCCUGCCAUUACUGCUUUCCUAAACAAUGUAGUCUGCAAAACAUCUGAGCUGGAGAGGGCUCCAGUUAUGUCUGUCCAUGUAUUCAUCCAUAACUUCCCCCCUACUCCCCUCAGUGGGGCUGGGCAUUUUUUCAAGAAUACAGUUAAUAUCUGUAAAUAAGAAGGGCUGAUACACCCUCUUCUUACUAGGGCCUUUAUCUAACAAGGACAUUGCAGUGGAGGAAACUCAACUUGUCCAGUUUUUGAAUGUAUAACUUGAUCACAGGGGGUACCUGUUUUUUUCUUUUUUCCGCUUUGUGUCAGGGGCGAGAGAAGGAAACUGUACUGUCAGUUAAUGCAGCUGCAAAGUCCUUAUCAUUGUCUGCCUGUUCGUUUCCCACACUGCCAACUCCACCGCAUAUUUCACUUUGCCAUUCCUCUUCUAACUCCCAAUAAUGCCCCUCCGGUUUAUGUCUCAGUUUAUGUUUAAUGUGUCACCAGAAUAUCUCCUAUAGAAUUAUUCACACAUAUAUUAAGGACUGAUUUUAAAAUUAACAAUAACAAUAAUUACACUAUAAGUUAAUCAUAAGGCACUAAGAUUUUUACUUAUAUUUUCUUGCAAAAGAAAUAACAUGAAACACACUGUGGGUUAUUUCUGACAAUCCAAAGUCUUUGUGCUUCAGUGGGUUGGUUAGUCAAGCCACAUUUAGAACAGGUCUGGCCAAACUCACAACUGUUAAAAUGGUACAUCUUGGUACUUUCCCAACUCCUCAUCACUGAAUUAUGUGGAGCUGUGAACCUGUCUGAUUUAACAUGCCUUAUCACCAGCGGCAAAGUACAAAGAACUCAAUCAAACUCAAUAGUGUCUGACAUAUAUAUAGCAGAAAGAGCUUAACAGAUACAAGAAUAGACAGAGUACACAGGAUGAGUCAUUACAACCACUUUAACCAUGAUGUCUAUAGUUGGGAUUGCAAGAACACGAGAUACACCGUUGGCUUCCUAGACCAUAGAUAUGGCAAAAGCAAUGAAUCAUUUGUUGACCUCACUCCUCAGAAAAACACAAUUCUCACACUGCAAACAACACAGAGUCAGAGUCAUGUGACAAACACAACCUCCUUUCCUACCAAGGCCAAUGUGAUCUUGACAUCCUGCGAUUUGGUCAAGGCGUGGUCACCUCCUUUGUUGUGAAGGGUGGCCAUAGAAGGGACACAUAGAGAACAACUGUUCCUUAGACCCUAAUUCCAAUCUAUGUGUUUGGAAUGUUGGAUGAAACAAACGUACCGCAAAAAACCUCAAUCAGAAACAACAGUGCAAAACAGUGCAUUAUUAUUAUUACCUAUUUCCGAUUUAUCUGAAGGGUAUGACAGUUGUCACUCGAGACUCUGACCUGAGGGUACAUAUAUGAACAGUAAAAGGUUUAGAAGGGUUGUUUGAAUAUUAACAAAUUGUUUCUCACGCCAAGCCACUUAAAAAGGUUUAUUACACAUUCAUAUUGUGUGAAUUCAGUGCUCAAAACAUGCAGAUAUUAUCCCCAAUUGCAUUGGGGGAGAUGAAUAAAAACACCAGACAACAUUAAACUUUCUUUAGGUCAAAUUUACUCGUCCUCUUAAAACAAUCUCAAGCCACAUGAAUCUUAACAUUCUCACACAUGGUAAACAGUUAAACAAGAAAUGAAAAUUACAGUCACCUAUGGUUUAUGAGGUCUUGCUUUAGAAAACAGGUGUUAAUGAAACAAGCAGCCUGGGGAUGAACCUAUAUAACCUAUACAUAAAAAAAAACAAAACAAAAACAAAACGCCAAGCUCCAAGACAUUUAAAAAAACAAACA